GUUUCCGGCCGCCGCUGGUUCACCGCCGUUCGCCCCCAGUCGACGCUCGUGCUCUGUUUUCCGGCCACCUCUGCCAGCCUCCGUUCCCUCUUCCUUCCUUCCCAUUUUUCAGUUCGUUUCCUACCGAUUAGCUGCUGUAUAUAUGCGUAUAUAUGUGCGAUUGUGGGUGUAAUUGUGUGUGUGUGAAUCUGAGGUCGUGUGUGUGCGAGUGCAGAGUAUCGAUGCCGUGUGUCCAGUGUGUGUUUUGUGUGCGUAUCUGUGUGUGUUCCAGUGUGUACAGCGUGGGUGAGUCUGGGGGUCAAGUAUAUUAUUUACGGACGUUAAUUAGUGUGGCUGUGUGGAGUGUCUAGUGAUUUGAGUCAUGAACUUGAGCUUCCGAUAUGCUUUUAAUUUUUAUUUCGGUUGUUGGGAUUAUUUGUUGGAUUAGUUGGUAUUUGUAACUUGGAUUAUUGGGAUUGAUUACAGGUUGUUUUGGUUUUGUUGUGUCGAUAUAAUAUCGACUGGUAGUCCGAUAAAUAGAGGAGGUGCUGCCCGAUUUUUAAAUAAAAUUAGAUUUUAAAUUAUACGGGAACGUCUCCUGUAAUUAUCGAGCUAUCAACCGAGUUUAUAAAUAAUAUAUAUAUGUAUAUAUAUGUGACUUGGUGUAAUAUUUUAUGAAAAGUAUUAUAACCCUAUUUUCUCGUACUAUCAGUGGAUCGUACAUUUUGAAUUCAACCCGAACCUGAUUUGAAUUGUGUGAGCCUUAUUUGCUUAUUUGUACUACCUUUAUAUUUGAGUCGGGUUGUACUAUCGAAGGGGUUAGAGUCUAGCGAUGAUGUCUGACAUAGAGACUGUCUAAUUUAGGAUUGUUCGAUCCUGUAGGUUCUGUUUCGGGACACCAGUUUUCGAAAGGCUAGUCGACUCCCUUCAUAGCAUCUGAUUCCUAUACCUCAGCAAGGCAAGUACCACUGACCAUACUCUCGAUGGUUCAGAUUAUAUAUGAAUAAAGUAGAGCAAGAAUGCAUCUCAAAUGUCAAAUGUUUUAAGUACAUAUUCCCCGGUUACUAUGGAAUUCAAAUAUCUUUUUAAAUUGUUUUAGGGGAAUAGUAACUUGGAUAUCUAUCCCGGUUGUGAUUUAAAUUCUGAAAAUGUUUAGUGAUUAUCAUUGCUAAACCUGCGAUAUAAUUUUUUAGACAUGGUAUUGAUUCAUGAAUAUCAUGUAAUGGUUUUGAAAAUGGGAUGGAUACGAAUCAAACUGAAACUGGAAAUGGAUCAGAUAUUUCUAUUUGGAGCUGCGUAAGAGGUUCCGUUAUUUGAUAACGACCCAGCAUGGUGGCGUAAGAGGCUUGCGUGGUUUACACACCCAAAACCACCUGGUCCAGCGUCUAAAGACCUAGCUAGUCUUUAGGUUCCGGAACAUUAUUUCGUGAUGGCCGACUAGAGCCGUCCGGUGUUGAUAGACUGAUCAGCUGUCUUCACCUGUUAAGCGUCCAAUAUAUCUGAUAUUCGUUUUAGAUAAAAAACCUGUAUAGCAUGCUAGUGAUAAAAUUUUGAAACUAAAACUUAUGAUUAUCACAUUUUUCCGGCAUGCUAAUAAAUGUUGAUUUCCAGUUUCAUAUCAAAUGAUGAUUUACUGUUUUAUGUUCGAAGCAUGCAUGUUUUCUAUUCUCUUGCUCUUAUAAACUGUUUUAUGAUUUUAUCUUAUGUUUAUUCAUAUUGGUACUGCUGAGCGAUUCAUAGCUCACCCUUGCAAAAUAUUUACAUAACUGUUUCAGAUGCCUAGAACGAGACCGCCUAGACGACCAUUGACCAGCAGUGGACGGGGUUCCAUCCCUCCACCCAUGUUGGGCACGUUUGAGGUAGUGGAGUCAGAUAUUAUAAGUUA
This 1864-nucleotide long non-coding RNA is filed under the name Daucus carota (carrot). RNAcentral's name for it is "long non-coding RNA (DCAR_LNC006151)". The record is from RNAcentral. Lineage: Eukaryota; Viridiplantae; Streptophyta; Magnoliopsida; Apiales; Apiaceae.